CACCCAGAGAUAAGUGUUGCUUCAAUAGGAGGUGAUGUAACAGCUGAACUGGGUAUUACAUAUGUAAGUUUGCAGUACACUGGUUAUCUUAAAGUGCAACACUAAACAGAGUUACACAACUUUACUGGCUCUCACUUUUCCUCACUUGCUCUCUCUUUUCCUCUCAGCUGGUCACUGAGGAAAAUCACUGUUGUGGGGCUGCUCUUGGUAUAAGUCGGAUUGCUGAAUUUCAAGGGAGGUGAAAGCCUCAAGUACUGGGUGAUCAUAUGACCAAGACUAAUGUUUUGCUCCUGCUGCUACUUCUAACAGCAAACCCUUCAAUCUUGGUUGGCAGAAGCUGGGACUAACAGUGGGAACUCAUCUCACUCCCCAGAUUCAAACCACCGACCUUUCAGUCAGCAAGUUCAGCAGCUCACCGGUGUAACCCGCUGCACCACCGGGGGCUCAAUAAUACCAAACCCUAUAUUUUGACUUCAACUGGAAACACACCAUAAAACCAUGCUAGAGGUCCACAAACACUUCUGGGGGAUAAUUUUUUGGAGUGUGGGUUGGGUUACUGAUCUGAAGGUUGGCGGUUCGAAUCCAUGAGAUGGGGUGAGCUCCCAUCUGGGGUGUGAGAGAAGCCUCCGGUAACACAUCCGGGCAUCCCCUGUCUCUGUAGAUGGCCAGUUCUCUCACAGCAGAAGCAACUUGCAGUAUGUUCUCAAGUUGCUUCUGACACAAUAAAAAAGAACCCUCCAAAAUGUAUGCUGUUAAUUCCUCUUUUGACUCCAUAGAUUGUUUGGGCAAGAAAAAGGUGAGCAUUAUAUAUUCAUUCAAAUGAGGUGAUCUAGGGAUUGUCCACACA
RNAcentral lists this long non-coding RNA (847 nucleotides) under Anolis carolinensis (green anole). RNAcentral describes it as "lncRNA (ENSACAG00000036428.1)". The record is from RNAcentral. Lineage: Eukaryota; Metazoa; Chordata; Lepidosauria; Squamata; Anolidae.